Oncorhynchus tshawytscha (Chinook salmon) is the source of this 376-nucleotide long non-coding RNA. NCBI's taxonomy places the organism in Eukaryota, Metazoa, Chordata, Actinopteri, Salmoniformes, Salmonidae. The record is from Ensembl.
GGAUGGAGGAAGGGAGAGGAGAGGAGAAAGGGAGAGGGGACAAAAGACAAGAGAAGUGCAGUGGAAAGAGAAGCGAAUGGAUAGAUAGAAAGGGGGUGUGGAGAGGAGACAUAAGAGAAUGAUAGAUAGAGGGGGUGUGGAGAGGAGACAUAAGAGAAUGAUAGAUAGAGGGGGGGUGUGGAGAGGAGACAGAAGAGAAUGAUAGAUAGAGAGGGGGUGUGGAGAGGAGACAGAAGAGAAUGAUAGAUAGAGAGGGGGUGUGGAGAGGAGACAGAAGAGAAUGAUAGAUAGAGAGGGGUGUGGAGAGGAGACAGAAGAGAAUGAUAGAUAGAGAGGGGGUGUGGAGAGGAGACAGAAGAGAAUGAUAGAUCGAGAG